CCUACGGGAGGCAGCAGUGGGGAAUAUUUGGCACUGGGCGCACGCCUGACCCCGCAACGCCGCGUGAAGGAAGAAGGCUUUCGGGUUGUAAACUUCUUUUCUCAGGGACGAAGCAAGUGACGUUACCUGAGGAAUAAGCCACGGCUAACUACGUGCCAGCAGCCGCGGUAAGACGUAGGUGGCAAGCGUUCUCCGGAUUUACUGGGUGUAGAGGGCGUGUCGGCGGGAUUGCAAGUCAGAGUUGAAAACCAUGGGCUGAACCUAUGGCCUGCAUUUGAAACUGUAGUUCUUGAGGACUGGAGAGGCAGACGGAAUUCCUAGUGUAGCGGGGAAAUGCGUAGAUAUUAGGAGGAACACCAGUGGCGAAGGCGGUCUGCUGGACAGCAACUGACGCUGAGGCGCGAAAGCGUGGGGAGCAAACAGGAUUAGAUACCCUUGGAGUC
This 443-nucleotide ribosomal RNA is filed under the name uncultured bacterium. RNAcentral's name for it is "partial 16S ribosomal RNA". It matches the Rfam family "Bacterial small subunit ribosomal RNA", at positions 338 to 795 of the family's 1533-position model. The record is from RNAcentral.